RNA transcript from Ctenopharyngodon idella (grass carp), 1197 nucleotides. RefSeq lists it as uncharacterized. NCBI's taxonomy places the organism in Eukaryota, Metazoa, Chordata, Actinopteri, Cypriniformes, Xenocyprididae. The transcript has 6 exons. The record is from RefSeq and is a predicted model, not a curated record.
UUUCUUCUUUCUGUGUAGAAGGCAGAUAAUUUCCUGAUGUGUCAGUAGAGCUGCAUGAACACGAACGGACAGAAGUCGCCAUCUGAAGCAGCUUCUUCUCUCUUCUGCUGGAUUAUUGGGCUCUUCUGGACUCUAGAGAAAUGAAGCUCAUCUUUGGACUGAUGCUGCUGCUGAAAACUGCUGCAUGUCUGGAGAGGAACUGCAGUUUUUAUCAGUCAGUUCCCUGUUAUGCAGCUCUGGGACACAAACUCAGUCUGCAGAUGGUGGACGCUAGUAGAUACAGCCUGAAGAUACAAAAGAUAAUAAGCAGCACAGAAAAAGAUCCAGUUUGUAGAGUAAAGAAUGACACAAUGAAGAACUGUGAUCUUUUCAAUAACAGACCUGAAGUGUCAGUCAUUAAUGGGACUCUGAUAAUAAACCGUGUGAUCAGAGCAGAUUCAGGGACUUACAAAUUAUAUCUCGAAGACUCAAAAGGCACAGAAACAUCUACAGAUCUUCAAGUGAUUGUUGAAGACAAGGACGCUGGCAAAACACAAGUGAUAUUAGGUGAGGAGCUUGGUAAGGUCCUCCCAUCACUCCGAUCGUUCUCGGAUGUUUUGCUGUAAUUCUUAUAGCUCUGGUCAUCAUGGCAUAUUACUUCUACAAGAAGAAGAAUCAGCUCAAACCAACAACAACCCCGGUGUCAGACGGUCCAGAGCCUGUGAAUGAACACAUCUCUCAGAAGAACAGAGAGGAAGAACAGAAGAGAACAGAUGAAUAUGCCACGAUCGACUCUCAGAACAAGAACAAGAAGAAGAAAAAGGAGGAAGAGGUUCAUUAUGGAGAAGUGACGUUCACCAACUCAAGAGUUCAACAGCCGCCUAAGAUGCAGGAGGAUUGUGUUUACUCUGAGGUUCAGACACGCUAGUGUGAAACAGCCACAAAACCCACAGAUUGUGAGUCUGCAUGUGUCAUGAAAACACAACGGCCCAGGUCUGAGCUGCUUAUGAUGCAAUGCUGGGGUUAUUGCGUAUUUCUUUCCUGUGUGGGAGGAGAAAAAAACUAAAGGGAGUGUCUGAUGCAACCAGAACAGAAAUAUGACAGGACAAACACUGACUGAUGUGAACAAAUAAUGGCUUGUGCUAAAUACAUAAUCAUUUGUUCUUUAUAUUUAUCUGUGCAAAACAAUGCAUUUAAAAUACACACGUGUUUCCUGCA